RNAcentral lists this ribosomal RNA (562 nucleotides) under Microhyla borneensis (Borneo rice frog). Its description in RNAcentral is "partial 16S ribosomal RNA". It matches the Rfam family "Bacterial large subunit ribosomal RNA", at positions 1840 to 2621 of the family's 2925-position model. Lineage: Eukaryota; Metazoa; Chordata; Amphibia; Anura; Microhylidae. The record is from RNAcentral.
GAUGAAUACAGUCAGCCUGCCAGUGACUAAGUUAAACGGCCGCGGUACCCUAACCGUGCAAAGGUAGCGCAAUCACUUGUUCUUUAAAUGAGGACUAGUAUGAACGGCAUCACGAGGGUUAUGCUGUCUCCCCACUCUAUUCAGUGAAACUGAUCUCCCCGUGAAGAAGCGGGGAUAAAAAUAUAAGACGAGAAGACCCCAUGGAGCUUUAAACUCAGUAUCAACUGCUUUAUAAAUCAACCUAAUAUCUAUGCAACCCUGAUUACUAGUUUUCGGUUGGGGUGACCACGGAGCAUAAAAUAACCUCCACGACGAAAGGAAGUAAUAACCUAAAUUAAGAGUUACAACUCUAAAUAUCAACAAAUUGACUAAAUUGAUCCAAUAAAUUGAUCAACGAACCAAGUUACCCUGGGGAUAACAGCGCAAUCCAUUUCAAGAGCUCAUAUCGACAAAUGGGUUUACGACCUCGAUGUUGGAUCAGGGUAUCCCAGUGGCGCAGCCGCUACUAACGGUUCGUUUGUUCAACGAUUAAAACCCUACGUGAUCUGAGUCCAGACCGGAA